GUCAGUGUGGUGUAAUGGUUUAAGUGUUGGACUAUGACUCUGGUGACCAGGGUUUGAUUCCCUGCUCAGACA
Phrynosoma platyrhinos (Desert horned lizard) is the source of this 72-nucleotide non-coding RNA. The record is from the annotation of a GenBank genome assembly. Lineage: Eukaryota; Metazoa; Chordata; Lepidosauria; Squamata; Phrynosomatidae.